RNAcentral lists this long non-coding RNA (365 nucleotides) under Brassica napus (rape). RNAcentral's name for it is "long non-coding RNA (BNAP_LNC025347)". Lineage: Eukaryota; Viridiplantae; Streptophyta; Magnoliopsida; Brassicales; Brassicaceae. The record is from RNAcentral.
GGAUCUAGCAUGACUUAUAUAUAGCGAAGCCGCUCGUAUCAGUUAUGAGACGCUAGCGAUUUUGAUGGUGUGCGUAAAGAGGGGGAGAUGAAGAGAUAGAGGGAGACUAAGAGUUCCAUGGAUUUGAUUGGAGAAGUUUAGACAGUAGCGUCUGUGUAUUGGAGGGGAGACGCAUGAUUGGAAAAACCAUAGGUCUCAGUCGAAGACGAAGAGCUGACGACUUGCAGGCUUUUUAGGGCUAGUUUUAUGGUUUAUUAAGAUAGACUUAGGCUUUAAUCAAAUGUAUAAGCUGGUGUAAUAGAUGAGCUAGUGAGUUUAAAAAAUAAGCCCACAAAUCAAUCAGCAAAUAAUAGAGAACGUGAUUU